This 253-nucleotide ribosomal RNA is filed under the name uncultured bacterium. RNAcentral describes it as "partial 16S ribosomal RNA". It matches the Rfam family "Bacterial small subunit ribosomal RNA", at positions 524 to 776 of the family's 1533-position model. The record is from RNAcentral.
GACGGGGGAUGCAAGCGUUAUCCGGAAUCACUGGGCGUAAAGCGUCUGUAGGUGGUGAUGCAAGUCACUGGUGCAAAACUCUGGCUCAACCGGAGGAAAGCCAGUGAAACUGCAUGACUAGAGUGUGGGAGAGGUAGAAGGAAUUCCAUGAGUAGCGGUGAAAUGCGUAGAUACAGGGAAGAACGCCGGAGGCGAAAGCGUUCUACUGGAACACAACUGACACUGAGAGAAGAAAGCUAGGGGAGCGAAUGGG